GGCCCGGUAGUGUAAUCGGUAGCACAACAGCUUUUGGAGCUGUCUGUCCAGGUUCAAGUCCUGGCCGGGCUA
RNAcentral lists this transfer RNA (72 nucleotides) under Planctomycetota bacterium. Its description in RNAcentral is "tRNA-Gln". It matches the Rfam family "tRNA". Rfam says of the family: Transfer RNA (tRNA) molecules are approximately 80 nucleotides in length. Their secondary structure includes four short double-helical elements and three loops (D, anti-codon, and T loops). The record is from RNAcentral. Lineage: Bacteria; Pseudomonadati; Planctomycetota.